GACGAACGCUGGCGGCGUGCCUAAUACAUGCAAGUAGAACGCUGAAGAGAGGAGCUUGCUCUUCUUGGAUGAGUUGCGAACGGGUGAGUAACGCGUAGGUAACCUGCCUGGUAGCGGGGGAUAACUAUUGGAAACGAUAGCUAAUACCGCAUAAAAUUGAUUAUUGCAUGAUAAUUAAUUGAAAGAUGCAACUGCAUCACUACCAGAUGGACCUGCGUUGUAUUAGCUAGUUGGUGAGGUAACGGCUCACCAAGGCGACGAUACAUAGCCGACCUGAGAGGGUGAGCGGCCACCCUGGGAGGGAGACCCGGCCCAGACUCCCACGGGAGGCAGCAGUAGGGAAUCUGCGGCAAUGGGGGGAACCCUGACCGAGCAACGCCGCGUGAGUGAAGAAGGUUUUCGGAUCGUAAAGCUCUGUUGUAAGAGAAGAACGGGUGUGAGAGUGGAAAGUUCACACUGUGACGGUAUCUUACCAGAAAGGGACGGCUAACUACGUG
RNAcentral lists this ribosomal RNA (497 nucleotides) under uncultured bacterium. RNAcentral describes it as "partial 16S ribosomal RNA". It matches the Rfam family "Bacterial small subunit ribosomal RNA", at positions 28 to 507 of the family's 1533-position model. The record is from RNAcentral.